UGGGGGAUAUUACACAAUGGGCGAAAGCCUGAUGCAGCGACGCCGCGUGGGGGAUGAAGGCCUUCGGGUUGUAAACUUCUUUUGCUCUGAACAAGGCGCACCAUGGGGUGUGUUGAGUGUAGGGGUUGAUUAGCGCCGGCUAACUACGUGCCAGCAGCCGCGGUAAUACGUAGGGCGCGAGCGUUGUCCGGAAUUAUUGGGCGUAAAGGGCUUGUAGGUGGCUGGUUGCGUCUGUCGUGAAAGCUCAUGGCUUAACUGUGGGUUUGCGGUGGGUACGGGCUGGCUUGAGUGCAGUAGGGGAGGCUGGAAUUCCUGGUGUAGCGGUGGAAUGCGCAGAUAUCAGGAUGAAUACCGGUGGCGAAGGCGGGUCUCUGGGCUGUUACUGACACUGAGGAGCGAAAGCAUGGGGAGCGAACAGG
Molecule: ribosomal RNA, 419 nt
Filed under: bacterium
Lineage: Bacteria
Description: partial 16S ribosomal RNA
Rfam family: Bacterial small subunit ribosomal RNA
Source: RNAcentral